Molecule: ribosomal RNA, 468 nt
Filed under: uncultured bacterium
Lineage: Bacteria
Description: partial 16S ribosomal RNA
Rfam family: Bacterial small subunit ribosomal RNA
Source: RNAcentral
GACGAACGCUGGCGGCGUGCUUAACACAUGCAAGUCGAACGGAAAGGCCCUGCUUUUGUUGGGUGCUCGAGUGGCGAACGUGUGAGUAACACGUGAGUAACCUUCCCUUUACUUUGUGAUAACUUCAGGAAACUGGGUCUAAUACCUGAUAGGAUCUCCUGCUGCAUGGUGGUGUUUGGAAAGUUUCGGCGGUUGGGGAUGGACUCGCGGCUUAUCAGCUUGUUGGUGGGGUAGUGGCUUACCAAGGCUUUGACGGGUAGCCGGCAUGAGAGGGUUACCGGCGACAUGGGGACUGAGAUAGGGCACAGAGUGGAACGGGAGGCAGCAGUGGGGAAGAUUGCAGAAUGGGAGGAAGCAUGAUGCAGCAACGCAGCGAGCGGGAUGAAGGCCUACGGGUUGUAAACCGAUUUAGAAUGUGAAGAAGAGUGAGUGACGGUAAUGGGUAAAGAAGCAACGGCUAACUACGUG